This is an RNA transcript of Varroa destructor (honeybee mite), 2297 nucleotides long. It is a transcript of the gene named potassium channel subfamily K member 1-like, with no coding region annotated. Lineage: Eukaryota; Metazoa; Arthropoda; Arachnida; Mesostigmata; Varroidae. The record is from RefSeq and is a predicted model, not a curated record.
UGCCAAAUACGUGAUCGUAAUUCAAGUAUAUGUACGGCUAUACUACUAUAGUGUAUUGGCACCUGACCGUCAAGGAAGUAUUCUCUAGUAGAUGUUAUAAUCGUUCAUAACUGUGGCAGUUGUUGAAGCCAUUAUGGUGUUAAUAACGAGUGAAGGAAAAAAAGCCAGACUAACUGCAGAAUCGUAUAAAAAAAAAUGACGUUUGCCGACAUCACUUGAAUCAAUGCUAUCAAAGGUGUCCGUUGUUGACGAUUCAUAAGAGACUGGUAAACGGGUUGCCAUUUUACUAUUAGCUGGAGGCUUGUUUGGUUCUUGCGUGACUUAUAUUACCUGCAUGUCUAACUGAGUGCGCGUCAACAAAGAAUAACUAGCCACGAGUUAGAACAAGUGAGAUACUGCAACGUAUACUUAACCUGCGGUUUUGAUUCCAUUCUAACUUUCAUAGUUGCUUAGUCGAUUUAUCAGCAAGAGCAGUGUCUCACCUUCGUUCACAGUUAAAUUGAGCCAGACAUAAGAAACAUUGUCUUCAUUCUCAAUCUAUUUAAGGAAUUUAUCCACGGAGAGCCCGUCUCGGACGUGACCUCUUCGACCUUAUUGUGGAACGCUCGAGAUAUUUCAACUUCGAGGAACGGAUACCAACUGAGAGCUUCAUGAAGGUUCUCUUGUAUCGAGCACCACUACAGGAGGGACACAGUUAUCAAUAUUUAUAAGAAGAGCACACUAGCACGCUAGAGAGGUCACAACUCAAGGCUUCCGGAUUGAAAUCGAGUUACAAGGAAUAUCUGGAUCCUUGAAAGCGUCUACUAUCAUUACAUAGAAACGUCUACAAGGCCGACGCAAAAGCGUACAAGCAGCUCAACACCGAGUACAUGUUACAUGCGUGUGAGCAAGGACAGCGUCUCAAGCCUCCGGUGACUGUGUGGCGACAAGUACCGUCGCAUAUCCCGUCCUCAGUUGUCGCAUCAGACCGCCGUUUAAGCUGCAGCUUUCAGUCGACCGCUGGCGAAUACGAGGGAGACUACGCGACUAUGAGAGACAACUCUGAGAAUUGUGGGCAACUACCGACCCGCAGUAUGACACGUCGUCGACAAUGUGGACUGGCCCCUAGAGUGGAGACGUAUGUGUGAGGCGCUUCAAAAAGGCGAACAAUACGACAACGACAAAAACGACAAGGCUAGCCAUAGAGGCUGCCUCUUGCCGCUAACGUAGGCAGCAGUAGCGCCUACCGCGCCACUAAGACUGUCCUGGAUGGGAAGGGAGGGUGUCGCAGAUGAACGUCAUAUCAUGGAUACUCACGCCCCGUCCUGUUCUGUGCUGACAGUGGUGCAAUAUUCACGCCGACCAUAAAAAGAGCAAGGAACCAACAAAAGUGGAGGAGAAUGGUUCGAGAAACAUUACGGAGGGGAGUCGACGAAGAGGCUGAGUGUGUCUCCGAGCGUUGCCGUUGAGGGUUCAAGAAAAUCUCGAGUAUCCCCUUCAUCUGUCCCUGGAUCCAUAUUCAUAUGUGGAGCACCUCGACACUUGCCUGUUGUUAUGGUAGUGGUAGUCAUGCUAAGAGCGGCAAUAGUAAUGGGAUCAGCUGGAUAAGAAGAAAAGGCAAGAGAAACAUCUCAGGAUUCUCCUACCACACUUUCCUGUCUCACAUAUGGCGUAAUACGAAGCGCACGAAUGGCUGGUCUGAAUGGUAAACAAACAUCGGUGUAUGGUAGCUAUCCAAUUUUGUAUGUGGCUGGAGCUUUCGGUUUUUUGCUUAUUCUCAAAGAAACUGUUCCAGAUACACAACUUACAAUACCAAAGAUAAAAAAAACAGGCGCCGAGAUUGUUGCGGUUCAUUAUUGUUGCUAGACACGAAAAUAGUCGAUCGAAGAGUCGAGUAGCAAUAGAGACGAAGGCAUUGGACAACAGCAAAGAAAGCACGGCGUACUUUUAGAUUGCGCUUCAUGAAGUGACAUGAGGACGAAUCAGGAAAAACGAGUUAUCGAAUGAAGGAAGACAAACAGGGUAUAAAGGUAAGCGAGCAAGAGAGGGGAAACAUUGUAAGUGAUAAGAAUGCGUAUUACCUUAGCAUACUUAUCCAUUUAUUUUUAGGACACAAGCUCACAUGCGCUCUCGUGCACUUUCCAAAAGUACAGUAGACGUAUUGGCAUCAGAGAGUGAUCUAUUGGUAGUGUUGUAAAAUCAGGUUAAUUUUUGGCUAGUCAAAAACGCAUUCCCUAUUGUUUAUAUGCUCAGUUGAAAUGCAAGGACGGAAUAGAUUAAAUAAAAGGGUUUCUUUACGGUGAAUCCUUCACGCGCGU